UAAGAAGGAAAUGAACUCCCCGGUGCUGAGACCAGAUCAGUGCAAAUGUGGCCGAGGGACUUGGGUUUUCCUUUUACUGCUGAAUCUGGUUUUCUUGAGUUUCAGCUGGCACCUGACAGAUGCUCCUAUUUUCUGAUGCAUGAAUGCACAAAGAAAUGAAGGACAGCCAGCUGGGAUGAGGUGCAGAGAGAGAGCAACACUCCGGCAGACUGGAAAAUCUUUACCUCAAAUGUCCUGAAUCCCCUGCCCGGUCCCAGAGCCCCUGCAGAUCCGACACACUGGGCUCCAAGGCUAAGUUCUGCCCGCAGCUAUGCACACCACCCCCCUUCCAUCCUUCAUCACUCCGCUAAAUUACCAUCACCUCCUUCUCCCUGCACCCACACCGACCUCUUCCUGUUUCCUCACUUCUCUCCCCAAGUUCGCAAUCCACAGGCCUUGUCUAUAAAGGUCCCAGGAUGUUCCUCUCGGACACAUAUUCCAAAGAGAGCCAAGCAAGA
This 497-nucleotide long non-coding RNA is filed under the name Equus caballus (horse). RNAcentral's name for it is "lncRNA (ENSECAG00000041467.2)". Lineage: Eukaryota; Metazoa; Chordata; Mammalia; Perissodactyla; Equidae. The record is from RNAcentral.